CAUAUGGAUUUUAAAUUUAAAUCUUAGUUAAUCUCAUUGACACUUGUGUGCCUGUAGACUUUAAAUAUGCCUUGGUGCUUGAGCCAACUAAUAAAAGAGCAGCCGUUUCUGCUGAAAGAUUACGGAAGGUGUUUCAAUAGGAGAUCAAAGUGAAUGCAUCUGUCGAGGAAUGACAAAGUAUCCAAUUUAUCAUUUUUUCAUAAAAGCCUCAUUAACUUCUCUGCAGCAGAUGACACAGUUAAACAGUUUGAUGAGUGUUGCUUCUCAGUUAUCUUACACACAAAAAAUGGCUUGAAGAAUGCUUUGCAAGUAGAGAAGGGAUGGUAAUCCUUCUUCAUGGAAGGUCUGAAGAGCGAGGGUUUUUUUUUUUUUGGUGGCAAUCAGUUUAGCAUAAGUGGGUAAUUAUCACUGUUGUCAGCAUUGGUAAUUAUGUUGCAAUUUUGUUCAUUUUAAUAUUUUAUGAAAGGGUUGUAAUUUUAGUUUUGAGAAGGAUUUGUCUACGUAUGAUCUUGUGUUGAUUAUGUAGCUUAUAAUUGACGUUGUUUUUCCUUUGAAACUACUUUACCUGGGAUUUAUGGUUUUCUUCUU
This 588-nucleotide unclassified non-coding RNA is filed under the name Hevea brasiliensis (rubber tree). The record is from RNAcentral. Lineage: Eukaryota; Viridiplantae; Streptophyta; Magnoliopsida; Malpighiales; Euphorbiaceae.